AGUGAACGCUGGCGGCAGGCCUAACACAUGCAAGUCGAACGGCAGCACAGUAAGAGCUUGCUCUUACGGGUGGCGAGUGGCGGACGGGUGAGGAAUACAUCGGAAUCUACUUUUUCGUGGGGGAUAACGUAGGGAAACUUACGCUAAUACCGCAUACGACCUACGGGUGAAAGCAGGGGAUCUUCGGACCUUGCGCGAUUGAAUGAGCCGAUGUCGGAUUAGCUAGUUGGCGGGGUAAAGGCCCACCAAGGCGACGAUCCGUAGCUGGUCUGAGAGGAUGAGCAGCCACACUGGAACUGAGACACGGUCCAGACUCCUACGGGAGGAAGCAGUGGGGAAUAUUGGACAAUGGGCGCAAGCCUGAUCCAGCCAUACCGCGUGGGUGAAGAAGGCCUUCGGGUUGUAAAGCCCUUUUGUUGGGAAAGAAAAGCAGCAGGUUAAUACCCCGCUGUUCUGACGGUACCCAAAGAAUAAGCACCGGCUAACUUCGUG
Molecule: ribosomal RNA, 492 nt
Filed under: uncultured bacterium
Lineage: Bacteria
Description: partial 16S ribosomal RNA
Rfam family: Bacterial small subunit ribosomal RNA
Source: RNAcentral